GCCGCUUUCCACCCAGUACCUAAGUCCACACUGGGUUUCCGGUGGUACUUUUCUACCUGGUACCCACCUUCCUUAGUCCGAUUGCCCACUCUCUUUUUGGGCUAUCGGACUCUGAGUUACCCACUCUCUCUUGGGUCUUUGGGUUACCAGGUACCGAUGGUACUUUUCUACCUGGUACCCACCUUCCUUAGUCCGAUUGCCCUCUCUCUUUUUGGGCUAUCGGACUCUGAGUUACCCACUCUCUCUUGGGUCUUUGGGUUACCAGGUACCGAUGGUACUUUUCUACCUGGUACCCACCUUCCUUAGUCCGAUUGCCCACUCUCUUUUUGGGCUAUCGGACUCUGAGUUACCCACUCUCUCUUGGGUCUUUGGGUUACCAGGUACCGAUGGUACUUUUCUACCUGGUACCCACCUUCCUUAGUCCGAUUGCCCACUCUCUUUUUGGGCUAUCGGACUCUGAGUUAC
Molecule: long non-coding RNA, 465 nt
Organism: Oncorhynchus tshawytscha (Chinook salmon)
Lineage: Eukaryota; Metazoa; Chordata; Actinopteri; Salmoniformes; Salmonidae
Source: Ensembl